CUUCUUGCCCCGCAUGGAUGAAGACUUCUGCCGGUCUGGAUGUCCUCUUCUGCCCCAUCGGAUGAAGACUUCGGCCCGGCUGGGUGAACACAACUCAAGGUUUUCGUGGCAAGUGAGUUAAAGCUUGACUUGGUUUGCAGUGUAAAACAUCAGAGGAGGAAAAAAAUAGUCUAUCAACAGGGGCAGUUGGCAGGAGUGUGACCUAGCUUCAUUCAACUGGAUCCACGGUGUAGACCCAUCAUUAAGAGCAGCCACUCCUACUUGCCCAACCUUGUUCCUCCAUUUGACAAAGGGCUUCAAGUUUUGUUUUCUAAAAGCAAAAGUUUUACUUUAAUAAAGUCUUCUAUGUUA
Molecule: long non-coding RNA, 351 nt
Organism: Bombina bombina (fire-bellied toad)
Lineage: Eukaryota; Metazoa; Chordata; Amphibia; Anura; Bombinatoridae
Exons: 3
Source: RefSeq, a predicted model, not a curated record